This 1955-nucleotide unclassified non-coding RNA is filed under the name Hevea brasiliensis (rubber tree). The record is from RNAcentral. Lineage: Eukaryota; Viridiplantae; Streptophyta; Magnoliopsida; Malpighiales; Euphorbiaceae.
UCCAAAUCAAACAGUACUAAGCAGUCAUAUCACCGAUGGUUGGUUGAUCAGUUAGCUAACAUUCUCAUGAAGUUGAGCUAGCGCGUGUCUAGCUACCACCGUAGACCGCAAGCUCGCACGUUGAAACCUGUUGUCUACUCGCCUACUUUUUGUUGUUUUUCAAUUUUUUAAUAGCAAUAGUUGUCCUUACUGUUUACAUAUAUAUACAUAAUCCAUUCUCAUGAAUUUUAACAUCGCUUCAACUCACUUUAACAUGUCUACUCUCAUCUUCUACUCUAUAGCUUUCGCCACCUUCCUUUACUUUCUGCUCCACCUUCGCCAACUCUUCCUCCACCGUGCCUCCCGUCCUCUUCCACCAGGCCCAAAGCCAUGGCCUCUCCUUGGAAACUUGCCUCAUUUGGGCCCUAAACCCCACCACUCCUUAGCUGACUUGGCUCGAAUCUAUGGGCCUCUCAUGCACCUUCGAAUGGGCUUCGUGGAUGUUGUGGUGGCGGCUUCUGCCUCCGUCGCAGCCCAAUUCUUGAAGGUUCAUGACGCGAACUUCUCAAACCGGCCGCCGAAUUCCGGUGCAAAAUAUGUUGCUUAUAAUUACCAAGACCUUGUGUUUGCACCCUAUGGUCCUCGGUGGCGCAUGCUUAGGAAGAUCAGCUCUGUCCAUCUCUUCUCCGGCAAGGCCUUGGAUGAUUUUAGACAUGUUAGACAGGAAGAAGUGGCAGCGCUCACUAGAGCACUGGCGAGAGCGAGCCCAACAGAAGCAGUAAACUUGGGACAACUGCUUAACGUAUGCACCACCAAUACCAUUGGACGAGUGAUGCUAGGCAGAAGAGUGGUCGGUGACGGUAGCGGUGGUCGUGAUCAAAAGGCAGUCGACUUCCAAUCGAUGGUUAGGGAGUUGAUGGUGUUGUCGGGAGUUUUCAAUAUCAGUGACUUUGUUCCAGCAUUGGAGUGGCUGGACUUACAAGGGGUGGCAGCCAAAAUGAAGAAGCUCCAUCGCAGAUUUGAUGCUUUCUUGACAGAGAUUGUGGAGGACCACAAGAUUAAUGGUUUUAAUGGUGCUGAAAUGCACAACAUGUUGAGCACGUUAAUUUCGUUGAAAGAAGAAGGUGAUAGUGAUGGUCUGAAACCUACUGAUACUGAAAUCAAAGCGUUACUUUUGAACAUGUUUACAGCAGGCACCGAUACGUCUGCCAGCACAGUGGAAUGGGCUAUUGCUGAACUCAUUCGGCACCCACGUGUCCUGGCCAAAGUCCAACAAGAGCUCGACUCUGUUAUCGGCCGAGAACGUCUCGUUACCGAAUCUGACCUAGCCCAACUCACCUAUCUCCAAGCAAUAGUCAAAGAAACUUUCCGGCUUCACCCAGCAACGCCAUUAUCUCUUCCACGGAUUGCAGCCAAUAGUUGUGAAAUAAACGGCUACCACAUUCCCAAGAACUCAACUCUUUUGGUGAACAUCUGGGCGAUAGCCCGAGAUCCAACUAUAUGGGCCGACCCACUAAAGUUUAAGCCCGAAAGAUUUCUGGCCGGAGGAGAAAAUGCAGGUGUUGACGUGAAGGGAAAUGAUUUUGAGCUUAUAACGUUUGGUGCAGGACGUAGAAUAUGUGCAGGAAUAAGCAUGGCUUUGCGCAUGGUUCAUCUGUUGGUGGGAACUCUAGUGCAUGCAUUUGAAUGGGAUUUGGCAGAUGGGUUGAAGCCUGCAGAUUUGAACAUGGAAGAAGCUUAUGGACUAACCUUACAACGUUCUCAGCCCUUGACGGUGCACCCAAAUCCUAGGUUGUCCUCGGAUGCUUACGGUGUUUAGUUUCUAUUUAUUUUUCAUUUGUUGUCAAUUUAAAAUAUAAAAUAUAGGAUGAGAUCAAUAGAUAGAUCUCAUCUGAUGCAUCUUGGAUCCAUGAUAGAUGGAUUGAAAGCUCAAUAAAUUGAGGUGUUUAAUAAAUUCAAUUUAAUAUAUACUAUCA